This 76-nucleotide transfer RNA is filed under the name Marinobacter nauticus. Its description in RNAcentral is "Marinobacter hydrocarbonoclasticus tRNA-Ala". It matches the Rfam family "tRNA". From Rfam's summary of the family: Transfer RNA (tRNA) molecules are approximately 80 nucleotides in length. The record is from RNAcentral. RNAcentral also lists the same sequence under 137 other names. Lineage: Bacteria; Pseudomonadati; Pseudomonadota; Gammaproteobacteria; Pseudomonadales; Marinobacteraceae.
GGGGCCAUAGCUCAGCUGGGAGAGCGCAACACUGGCAGUGUUGAGGUCAGCGGUUCGAUCCCGCUUGGCUCCACCA